Mangifera indica (mango) is the source of this 1990-nucleotide RNA transcript. RefSeq lists it as uncharacterized. NCBI's taxonomy places the organism in Eukaryota, Viridiplantae, Streptophyta, Magnoliopsida, Sapindales, Anacardiaceae. The record is from RefSeq and is a predicted model, not a curated record. The transcript has 14 exons.
GAAGUUUGAAAUUAUCAAGGGCGAAAGAGAGUUAAUGCCUUUUGUUUUAUCUUCAUCAAAUCAAGAAGCAAACAAACAUGGAGGGUUUUUGAUGGCGCUCAGUGAAUCCUGAAAACGCCGUCGUUUUCUGGUUUCUCUGUAUUUAGAGUGAAUUGGAUAGAGAGGGAGGUGGAGGAGGAGAAGAUGAGCUGGAGAAGAGUGUUGAAGUCUGUACAGACUCUGGUUGCACAUAGCCUUCUCUUCACUUUCACGCUUUUGCUUGUUCUCAAGCUCGAUCACGUCGUUUCUUACUCGUGGUGGAUAGUCUUCUUCCCCAUUUGGACAUUUCAUGCAGUUAUUGCUCGGGGAAGAUUCUCGUUGCCUGCUCCAUCAGUUCCGCAUAACCGCCAUUGGGCUCCUUGCCAUGCCAUUGUUGCAACACCAUUGCUCGUUGCAUUUGAGCUUCUCCUUUGUACCUAUCUUGAGAGUAUUUAUGCUCAAGGUCUGCCAACUGUCGAUUUGAAGAUUGUCUUUCUCCCCCUUUUGGCAUUUGAAAUAGUUAUCCUAAUAGAUAAUUUCAGAAUGUGUAGAGCUCUUAUGCCAGCUGAAGAAGAAAGCAUGAACGAUGAAGCAAUAUGGGAGGCACUGCCUCACUUCUGGGUUGCAAUUUCCAUGGUCUUCUUUAUAGCUGCUACAGUAUUUACCCUCCUAAAGUUAUGCGGUUAUGUAGGUGCUCUUGGCUGGUGGGACCUGUUUAUAAAUUUUGGCAUUGCAGAAUGCUUCGCUUUUCUUGUUUGUACAAAGUGGUCUAAUCCUGUAAUUCAUCGAAAUCCUUCCACAGUACAAUCUAGCUCAUCUUCUAUGACUAUUAGAUAUCUUGACUGGAAUAGUGGCUUAGUAGUUGCUCCGGGGGAGGAUCAGAACCAGGAUAGACUGUGCAGCCUGUCAGAUAUUGGUGGCCACAUUAUGAAAGUUCCAAUAAUAGGAUUUGAAAUCCUCCUUUGUAUGCGUUUAGAGGGUACGCCUGCUGGUGCUAGAGAUAUACCAGUUCCUGUCCUGUUCUCUCCACUUUUCCUGCUGCAAGGUGCUGGUGUCCUAUUUGCUACAACUAGAUUGAUUGAGAAAAUUGUACUUUUAUUAGAGAGUGGAGCUGGCACAGGAAUAUUUUUUAGAUUUUCUGCAAGAGCUCAUGAUUGCUUGGGGUUCUUGCACCAUGGUUCCAGAGGAACAUUUUCCUCAUUUGGCUAUUUGAAAACAGGCUAUUGGGAUGGUGGUCAAUUGAUGAAGGCAGUCGAGAAGAACAGGCUCGACUUAUCCAUGAGAGUGCUUCUGGGUAUGACACUUUCUGUGGUUAUCCACCUGAAGUGGUGAAGAAAAUGGCCAAAAAGGAUCUUGCUGAAGAGGUAUGGAGACUCCAAGCAGUGCUCAGUGAGCAGACAGAGAAAUCAAAAUAUAGCAAGCGGGAGUUUGAAAGACUUCAAAACGAAAAAGUUUUAUGCAGAAUUUGCUUCGAGGCAGACAUCAGUGUAGUUCUUCUUCCAUGUCGGCAUCACAUCCUUUGCAGCACCUGCUGUGAUAAAUGUAAAAAAUGCCCAAUUUGCCGUGCCACUAUCGAGAAACGAUUAACUGUAUAUGAUGUUUAAUCUCUAACUUCCAGUCUAUUUUAAAGAACUGGACAGCCGGAAGGAGAUCAAAUAACAUCUUUAGGAAAAAUGGUUUUACAGUUUUUGCUAAAACUUUUACUUUAGUUAGUGUUGUUGAAUUGGGCAUAAAGCUAACUACAGGAAAUAUAGAAUGCAGCCACCACGAUUUAUACAUGGUCAGUUUCUAUCUUUUUUCUUAGAUUUCAGAGAUUGUAAAUAUAUUUAAAUUUUUAAGAUUUAAAGUAUUGUCCAUUGAGGUUGUAAAUUAGUUGCCCUGAAUAUGGGUUAACUUUUGCUUUGGUCUAUCGGGCCAUUACCGUUUGUCUUCCUCCCCUUAACCCUCUUUAAUCUAAUAAGCAUUACUGUUA